UGUCAGCAUAGUUAGGGCUGCACUGAGGAACAGUGCCAUUAUUUAAAUAUUAUCCGUAAACGUGUAAGAAACGAAGCUAUCUGUUUUCAGUUCAGCUGUCACAGGAAUUGCAUGCAAGCAUCAAACUCCAUGCAUGGUCGCGAUAAAUCAGAUCCUGUUUCUGGGACACUCAGGCAACUAGCUGGAUUGUAGGGUAAAGGAAUUACAGGACAUUCACCCAAUGCAUAGCAACCUGCUGCCCCCCCCUCCCCCCCCAAAAAAAAACACAUUCAUAGAUCUUAGGGAAACCUCAUCUGUAUAGGCCAGAGCAAAGAUCCCCAAGAGGAGACCGUAAUCAUCAGAAGACCGACAUCAUCAAACAGGGUCUCAGAUGUCACAACAGGAAGGUACCCAAAAGCCUACCUUUAUCUGACUUGUAAUGCAGCAAUGACCCAAAAACCUCUGCAAAAAUCAAGCUGAGGCACCUCUGAGGUACACUCCAGCAAGGAUGCACACCUCUAUCUGACUGACAAUCCUCAUCGCUAACAGGCAGCCAAGGGGAGGGCGGAGGGGGGAUUCCCGUUGCAAGGUUUCCACCACUCAGAGCCUCCUGCUGUGAUGAGACGCUUGUAAAAGGAAGCUCCCGGAUUUGAUCAGUCUAAUUAUACCUGGUCCAUUGACACAAUUAUCCAGCGACAGGCACCCAGUUACACUUAUUUGGUGAGAUUUCCUCGUUCUCCCGGUUAAGCCGUUUCCGUUUUGACCGACUCCCGCUGAAGCUGUCUGCAUCACGCCCCAGAUCCUGCUCACGUGCCCUUUCACAUACUAUCAAGCACGCUACACAGUUUGAGUGGCUUUCCCACUCAAAUCAUACCUUUUUACCUCUGUUUUGGGUUGUGUACCUCUGUGUACCUCUCUAGCUCAUAUUCAAAAGGUCAGCAACAGAACUUAGUA
Molecule: long non-coding RNA, 933 nt
Organism: Paramormyrops kingsleyae
Lineage: Eukaryota; Metazoa; Chordata; Actinopteri; Osteoglossiformes; Mormyridae
Source: RefSeq, a predicted model, not a curated record